GGGGAAAACAUAGGGGCCAAUAGAUUUUGAGCCCCCGAAUCCUCCCUCCUCCCCCGGGGGAAAAACCGGGCCCACAAGGGGGGAAGAAUAUUGGGGCCAAAGCAUCCCAACUCCUUUUGGAAGUUUUCGGUUAAAUCCAUGCGCUUAAAAAAGGGCUGCCGGAAAACCGGAAAACUAGAAAGGGAGAGGUAGAGAGUACUUCGUGGGAAGGGGUAAAAAAUCUUUAUAACUUGAUGACGACGUGUGGCGAAGGCAGACUACCACCUAAAGUUCGACUGUGAUGGAGGAAACCUGGGUGAGCAAACACUAUAAUAUACGCGCGAAUACACUAGGGCGAACACUAUAAAAAAUCAAACAUACGUUGUUUUGGGGUCAUGCAGGGGUAAGGAAAAAACAAACCUUUUACCUUGGAGGUCCACAUUCGCGGUUUGAGGUAAAACGUGGGGGCAUUGGCGAGCCAAAUAUAU
Molecule: ribosomal RNA, 467 nt
Filed under: uncultured archaeon
Lineage: Archaea
Description: partial 16S ribosomal RNA
Source: RNAcentral